RNAcentral lists this ribosomal RNA (807 nucleotides) under uncultured bacterium. RNAcentral's name for it is "bacterial SSU rRNA". It matches the Rfam family "Bacterial small subunit ribosomal RNA", at positions 9 to 807 of the family's 1533-position model. The record is from RNAcentral.
GAGUUUGAUCCUGGCUCGGGACGAACGCUGGCGGCGUGCCUAAUACAUGCAAGUCGAGCGGAUUUAUCCUUCGGGAUAAGUUAGCGGCGGACGGGUGAGUAACACGUAGGCAACCUGCCUAUAAGACUGGGAUAACUAUCGGAAACGAUAGCUAAGACCGGAUAACUGAUUUCUCGCAUGAGAAAAUUAUGAAACACGGAGCAAUCUGUGGCUUAUAGAUGGGCCUGCGGCGCAUUAGCUAGUUGGUAGGGUAACGGCCUACCAAGGCGACGAUGCGUAGCCGACCUGAGAGGGUGAACGGCCACACUGGGACUGAGACACGGCCCAGACUCCUACGGGAGGCAGCAGUAGGGAAUCUUCCGCAAUGGACGCAAGUCUGACGGAGCAACGCCGCGUGAGUGAUGAAGGUUUUCGGAUCGUAAAGCUCUGUUGCCCUAGACGAACAGCAAGAGGAGUAACUGCCUUUUGUGUGACGGUAUAGGAGAAGAAAGCCCCGGCUAACUACGUGCCAGCAGCCGCGGUAAUACGUAGGGGGCAAGCGUUGUCCGGAAUUAUUGGGCGUGAAACGCGCGCAGGCGGUCAAUUAAGUUGGGUGUUUAAGCCCGGGGCUCAACCCCGGUUCGCAUCCAAAACUGGUCGACUUGAGUGUAGGAGAGGAAAGUGGAAUUCCACGUGUAGCGGUGAAAUGCGUAGAGAUGUGGAGGAACACCAGUGGCGAAGGCGACUUUCUGGCCUAUAACUGACGCUGAGGCGCGAAAGCGUGGGGAGCNAACAGGAUUAGAUACCCUGGUAGUCCACGCCGUAAAC